Corylus avellana is the source of this 474-nucleotide long non-coding RNA. RefSeq lists it as uncharacterized. NCBI's taxonomy places the organism in Eukaryota, Viridiplantae, Streptophyta, Magnoliopsida, Fagales, Betulaceae. The record is from RefSeq and is a predicted model, not a curated record.
GAGCUGUAGAUUGAGAGAGAGAGAGAGAGACAGAGAGGUGUUGCUGGCCGUUCGAAAGAAGAAGAAAAAGAAGAAGGAGAAGAAGAAAAAAGAAAGUAAGGAAGUUAAUGUGGGUUUCGGCCAUGGGUGCUUGUGAGGUGCAUUGCGGUUGAGUCAAGAAUCCACCGAAGGGUACUCAAGCGAACAAGACAAUGUUGUGGAUGCAGGUACAGAGACGGUAGAUGAGGAUCCUAUUGCCAUGUAUUUGGGCCACGAUGUUUGAGGCCUAGAUGCGUCGGGGGUUGAUUCUGUUGGACUAGUUAUUAGCCCUCUUUAUUAGAGCAUUUAUGUAUAUGCUUAGAUGUUGGUAUUUUGUCCAUGGCUCGUGUCGCAUAUGACACAUUUGUAUAGCCAUUCUUUUGUAUGUAAGCAUUAUUCACAUAGAUGUAUUGUCAGCUCAAAUGUGUUAAGUUAUGUCUAUGUUAUUUAUAUUCG